AACGCGAAGAACCUUACCUACUCUUGACAUCCAGAGAACUUUCCAGAGAUGGAUUGGUGCCUUCGGGAACUCUGAGACAGGUGCUGCAUGGCUGUCGUCAGCUCGUGUUGUGAAAUGUUGGGUUAAGUCCCGCAACGAGCGCAACCCUUAUCCUUUGUUGCCAGCGGUCCGGCCGGGAACUCAAAGGAGACUGCCAGUGAUAAACUGGAGGAAGGUGGGGAUGACGUCAAGUCAUCAUGGCCCUUACGAGUAGGGCUACACACGUGCUACAAUGGCGCAUACAAAGAGAAGCGACCUCGCGAGAGCAAGCGGACCUCAUAAAGUGCGUCGUAGUCCGGAUUGGAGUCUGCAACUCGACUCCAUGAAGUCGGAAUCGCUAGUAAUCGUAGAUCAGAAUGCUACGGUGAAUACGUUCCCGGGCCUUGUACACACCGCCCGUCACAC
RNAcentral lists this ribosomal RNA (444 nucleotides) under Enterobacter asburiae. RNAcentral describes it as "bacterial SSU rRNA". It matches the Rfam family "Bacterial small subunit ribosomal RNA", at positions 958 to 1402 of the family's 1533-position model. The record is from RNAcentral. Lineage: Bacteria; Pseudomonadati; Pseudomonadota; Gammaproteobacteria; Enterobacterales; Enterobacteriaceae.